This 1768-nucleotide ribosomal RNA is filed under the name human oral metagenome. Its description in RNAcentral is "bacterial LSU rRNA". It matches the Rfam family "Bacterial large subunit ribosomal RNA", at positions 816 to 2568 of the family's 2925-position model. The record is from RNAcentral.
UAGGGGUGAAAGGCCAAUCAAACCCGGAGAUAUCUCGUUCUCCCCGAAAUAGCUUUAGGGCUAGCCCCGGGCGUUUGCCUGCGGAGGUAGAGCACUGAAUGGGUGCGGGGGCCUCACCGCCUACCAAGUCCAAUCAAACUCCGAAUGCCGCAGGCCCAGAGCCCGGGAGUCAGAACAUGUGGGCUAAGCCGUGUGUUCGAGAGGGAAACAGCCCAGACCGCCCGCUAAGGUCCCCAAGUCCGUGCUGAGUGGCAAAGGAUGUGCGUUUGCUCAGACAACCAGGAUGUUGGCUUAGAAGCAGCCACCCAUUCAAAGAGUGCGUAACAGCUCACUGGUCGAGUGGACAUGCGCCGACAAUAUACGGGGCUAAGCACGGUACCGAAGCGGCGGACCCGCGCGCGAGCGCGGGUGGUAGGGGAGCUUUCCGUCCGGGGCGAAGCGAGGGGGCGACCCCCCGUGGACCGGCCGGAAGUGAGAAUGCUGGCAUGAGUAGCGAGAGGGGCGUGAGAAACGCCCCCGCCGUAAACCCAAGGUUUCCUGGGCAAGGCUAAUCCUCCCAGGGUCAGUCGGGUGCUAAGGCGAGGCCGGAAGGCGUAGCCGACGCGCAGCAGGCAGACAUUCCUGCACCCCCGACGCGGCGCCAUCACCGACGGGGUGACGGAGAAGGGUAGCUCAGCGGGGUUCUGGACGUCCCCGUGAGGCCACGUAGGCCGGGCGGCUGUGAAACGCGCCGCCCGCGAGGGCUGAGGUGGCUGACGAAGCGACUGGGUGAAGUGAGUGAGCCCAUGCUCCCGAGAAAAACCCCUAGGGAUGCCGCGCGGGGCCCGUACCGCAAACCGACACAGGUGGGUGGGUAGAACAUACCAAGGCGAUCGGGAGAACUAUGGUUAAGGAACUCGGCAAAACUGCCCCGCAACUUCGGGAGAAGGGGUGCCGCCGCCGGUGGAGGGGCUUGCCCCCCGAGCUGGUGGCGGCCACAGUGAAGAGGUCCAAGCGACUGUUUAUCAAAAACACAGGACUCUGCUGAAGUCGUAAGACGACGCAUAGGGUCUGACGCCUGCCCGGUGCCGGAAGGUCACGAGGAGCCGUCAGCGAGAGCGAAGCGGCGAAUCCAAGCCCCGGUAAACGGCGGCCGUAACUAUAACGGUCCUAAGGUAGCGAAAUUCCUUGUCGGGUAAGUUCCGACCUGCACGAAAGGCGUAACGAUUUGGACGCUGUCUCAACCAUAGACCCGGUGAAAUUGCACUAGUCGUGAAGAUGCGACUUACCCGCGGAAGGACGGAGAGACCCCGUGAACCUUUACUGCAGCUUGACAUUGGCUGCCGGUUCGUCGUGUAGAGGAUAGGUGGGAGACGCCGAACCAGGGACGCCAGUCCCUGGGGAGUCACCCUUGGAAUACCACCCUCGACGUUCUGGCAUCCUAACCCCGCGCCGUGAUCCGGGCGGGGGACCGUGUCAGGUGGGUAGUUUGACUGGGGCGGUCGCCUCCUAAAGAGUAACGGAGGCGCACAAAGGUCUGCUCAGCCUGGUCGGCAACCAGGCCGCUGAGUGCAAGAGCGCAAGCAGGCUCGACUGCGAGGCCCACGAGCCGAGCAGGGACGAAAGUCGGUUCUAGUGAUCCGGCGGCCCAGAGUGGAAUGGCCGUCGCUCAACGGAUAAAAGGUACUCCGGGGAUAACAGGCUGAUCUUCCCCAAGAGUCCACAUCGACGGGAAGGUUUGGCACCUCGAUGUCGGCUCAUCGCAUCCUGGGGCUGGAGCAGGUCCCAA